RNAcentral lists this ribosomal RNA (400 nucleotides) under uncultured bacterium. Its description in RNAcentral is "bacterial SSU rRNA". It matches the Rfam family "Bacterial small subunit ribosomal RNA", at positions 355 to 774 of the family's 1533-position model. The record is from RNAcentral.
UUAGGAAUCUUCCACAAUGGGCGAAAGCCUGAUGGAGCGACGCCGCGUGAGGGAUGAAGGCCUUAGGGUUGUAAACCUCUAAAGGAGGGACGAUAAUGACGGUACCUCUUGAAUAGCACCGGCUAACUCCGUGCCAGCAGCCGCGGUAAUACGUAGGCAGCAAGCGUUGUUCGGAGUUACUGGGCGUAAAGAGUGCGUAGGCGGUUUUCUAAGUUCGGUGUGAAAUCUCCCGGCUUAGCUGGGAGGGUGCGCCGAAGACUGGGAAGCUGGAGUGUGGGAAAGGCAGGCGGAAUUCCUGGUGUAGCGGUGAAAUGCGUAGAUAUCAGGAGGAACACCUGCGGUGUAGACGGCUUGCUAGACCAUAACUGACGCUGAGGCACGAAAGCGUGGGUAGCAAACA